This 447-nucleotide ribosomal RNA is filed under the name uncultured bacterium. RNAcentral's name for it is "SSU rRNA". It matches the Rfam family "Bacterial small subunit ribosomal RNA", at positions 26 to 518 of the family's 1533-position model. The record is from RNAcentral.
AGAGCGAACGCUGGCGGCAGGCUUAACACAUGCAAGUCGAGCGGGCGUAGCAAUACGUCAGCGGCAGACGGGUGAGUAACGCGUGGGAACAUACCUUUUGGUUCGGAACAACACAGGGAAACUUGUGCUAAUACCGGAUAAGCCCUUACGGGGAAAGAUUUAUCGCCGAAAGAUUGGCCCGCGUCUGAUUAGCUAGUUGGUGAGGUAACGGCUCACCAAGGCGACGAUCAGUAGCUGGUCUGAGAGGAUGAUCAGCCACAUUGGGACUGAGACACGGCCCAAACUCCUACGGGAGGCAGCAGUGGGGAAUAUUGGACAAUGGGCGCAAGCCUGAUCCAGCCAUGCCGCGUGAGUGAUGAAGGCCCUAGGGUUGUAAAGCUCUUUUGUGCGGGAAGAUAAUGACGGUACCGCAAGAAUAAGCCCGGCUAACUUCACGCCAGCAGCCGC